Molecule: ribosomal RNA, 461 nt
Filed under: Triaenophorus nodulosus
Lineage: Eukaryota; Metazoa; Platyhelminthes; Cestoda; Bothriocephalidea; Triaenophoridae
Description: SSU rRNA
Rfam family: Eukaryotic small subunit ribosomal RNA
Source: RNAcentral
AAGUUUUGCAUGGAAUAAUGGAAUAGGACUUCGGUUCUAUUUCGUUGGUUUUCGGAUCCGAAGUAAUGAUCAAGAGAGACAGGCGGGGACGUUUGUAUGGUUGCGCUAGAGGUGAAAUUCUUGGACCGUAGCCAGACAAACUAAAGCGAAAGCAUUCGUCAAGCAUGUUUUCAUUGGCCAUGAGCGAAAGUCAGAGGCUCGAAGACGAUCAGAUACCGUCCUAGUUCUGACCAUAAACGAUGCCAACUGACGAUCCGUGGUGGUAGUAUUUAAACCUUCCUCACGGGCAGUCCCCGGGAAACCAUUAAGUCUAUGGGUUCCGGGGGAAGUAUGGUUGCAAAGCUGAAACUUAAAGGAAUUGACGGAAGGGCACCACCAGGAGUGGAGCCUGCGGCUUAAUUUGACUCAACACGGGAAAACUCACCCGGCCCGGACACUAUGAGGAUUGACAGAUUGAAAGC